Molecule: ribosomal RNA, 189 nt
Filed under: uncultured bacterium WkB13
Lineage: Bacteria
Description: partial 16S ribosomal RNA
Source: RNAcentral
AUUACCGCGGCUGCUGGCACGGAGUUAGCCGGUGCUUAUUCAUCUGGUACCGUCAACCCCAAUAGAAAUCGGGGGUUUCUUCCCAAAUAAAAGAAGUUUACAAUCCAGAGGACCUUCAUCCUCCACGCGGCAUGGCUGGUUCAGACUUGCGUCCAUUGACCAAUAUUCCUUACUGCUGCCUCCCGUAGG